AGUGAACGCUGGCGGUAGGCCUAACACAUGCAAGUCGAACGGCAGCACAGGAGAGCUUGCUCUCUGGGUGGCGAGUGGCGGACGGGUGAGGAAUACAUCGGAAUCUACUUUUUCGUGAGGGAUAACGUAGGGAAACUUACGCUAAUACCGCAUACGACCUACGGGUGAAAGUAGGGGACCUUCGGGCCUUGCGCGAUUGCAUGAGCCGCUGUCGGAUUAGCCAGUUGGCGAGGUAAAGGCCCACCAAGGCAACGAUCCGUAGCUGGUCUGAGAGGAUGAUCAGCAACACUGGAACUGGAACACGGUCCAGACUCCUACGGGAGGCAGCAGUGGGGAAUAUUGGACAAUGGGCGCAAGCCUGAUCCAGCCAUACCGCGUGGGUGAAGAAGGCCUUCGGGUUGUAAAGCCCUUUUGUUCGGAAAGAAAUCCAGCUGGCUAAUACCCGGUUGGGAUGACGGUACCCAAAGAAUAAGCACCGGCUAACUUCGUGCCAGCCGCCGCCGUAA
Molecule: ribosomal RNA, 506 nt
Filed under: uncultured bacterium
Lineage: Bacteria
Description: partial 16S ribosomal RNA
Rfam family: Bacterial small subunit ribosomal RNA
Source: RNAcentral